Molecule: ribosomal RNA, 253 nt
Filed under: uncultured bacterium
Lineage: Bacteria
Description: partial 16S ribosomal RNA
Rfam family: Bacterial small subunit ribosomal RNA
Source: RNAcentral
UACAGAGGUCUCAAGCGUUGUUCGGAUUCAUUGGGCGUAAAGGGUGCGUAGGUGGCGCCGUAAGUCAGGUGUGAAAUUUCGGAGCUUAACUCCGAAACUGCAUUUGAUACUGCGGUGCUUGAGGACUGGAGAGGAGACUGGAAUUCACGGUGUAGCAGUGAAAUGCGUAGAUAUCGUAAGGAAGACCAGUGGCGAAGGCGAGUCUCUGGACAGCAACUGACGCUGAGGCACGAAGGCCAGGGGAGCAAACGGG